This 449-nucleotide ribosomal RNA is filed under the name uncultured bacterium. Its description in RNAcentral is "partial 16S ribosomal RNA". It matches the Rfam family "Bacterial small subunit ribosomal RNA", at positions 29 to 523 of the family's 1533-position model. The record is from RNAcentral.
AACGAACGCUGGCGGCAUGCCUAACACAUGCAAGUCGAACGAGAUCUUCGGGUCUAGUGGCGCACGGGUGCGUAACGCGUGGGAAUCUGCCCUUUGGUUCGGAAUAACAGUUGGAAACGACUGCUAAUACCGGAUGAUGACGAAAGUCCAAAGAUUUAUCGCCAGAGGAUGAGCCCGCGUAGGAUGAGCUAGUUGGUGGGGUAAAGGCGCACCAAGGCGACGAUCCUUAGCUGGUCUGAGAGGAUGAACAGCCACACUGGGACUGUGACACGGCCCAGACUCCUACGGGAGGCAGCAGUGGGGAAUAUUGGACAAUGGGCGAAAGCCUGAUCCAGCAAUGCCGCGUGAGUGAUGAAGGCCUUAGGGUUGUAAAGCUCUUUUACCCGGGAUGAUAAUGACAGUACCGGGAGAAUAAGCUCCGGCUAACUCCGUGCCAGCCGCCGCCGUAA